Molecule: unclassified non-coding RNA, 344 nt
Filed under: soil metagenome
Description: partial contains 5.8S ribosomal RNA, internal transcribed spacer 2, and large subunit ribosomal RNA
Rfam family: 5.8S ribosomal RNA (bases 1-120)
Source: RNAcentral
GAUGAAGAACGUAGCGAAAUGCGAUAAGUAAUGUGAAUUGCAGAAUUCAGUGAAUCAUCGAAUCUUUGAACGCACAUUGCGCCCGCCGGUAUUCCGGCGGGCAUGCCUGUUCGAGCGUCAUUUCAACCAUCAAGCCCUGGGCUUGUGUUGGGGACCUGCGGCUGCCGCAGGCCCUGAAAUGUAGUGGCGGGCUCGCAAGACACACCGAGCGUAGUAGCUUACAACCUCGCUUUGGGAGUGCUGCGGGUGCUGGCCGUAAAGCGACCUUUGCGUCUUUAGCACUAGGUUGACCUCGGAUCAGGUAGGAGGACCCGCUGAACUUAAGCAUAUCAAUAAGCGGAGGA